This is a non-coding RNA of Oryctolagus cuniculus (rabbit), 16619 nucleotides long. Lineage: Eukaryota; Metazoa; Chordata; Mammalia; Lagomorpha; Leporidae. The record is from RefSeq and is a predicted model, not a curated record.
CUCAGCUGCAGAUAGGCCCGCGCCUGGUGCCCCCCGCCCCCAGCCCCGCGGCGGAGGACUUCCGCCGAGGCUGCUGCGUUCGGGGUGCGUUUGCUCCUGCCUCGCUGGAGAAAGCACGUUUCAACCCCCCCCCCCCCAAUACUCUGAUUUAGUCUUGCAUAAAACGAACGCGAAACCGCGGUCCCCCAGACGUCUGCGGAUGUGUGCGCUGGACUCCCGCAACAUCCCGAUCCCCGAACAAAGAACGGCGGGGCGGCGGAGGGGCUUCACUUAAAUCUACAUUUCAGUAGGCCGUGUACCCUAUUCGUUUCGCUGACAGGAAGCAAAAGGCUUCGGGAGAUAGAGCCACAGGUUCUCCUUGAGUCAUUUAUUUCUUCCCGGAAUCUUCACUCAACGUCAAAAACAAAUUUCCUGGACUGUAACUGCGGACCGCGAAGCACGUGAAAUGCUGUGUUGUUCGUUUAAUCUACAGAAUGCAUUUGUCACAGGGAAUGGGAUUUGCUCGCACCCUAUUCAUCACAGCCAGAGCUACGGGGUCGAGAGGUGCUUUUCUUUAGCUGGGAAACCCGUCGGGCGCCAUGGGGUCCUAGCUUUUCUCCUUGUGAAUGGUGCGAGCUGGGUAGAAACGGUGGCCGCAGAAUAUAAGCGCUAGGUGUCUUCGACACCUGCCUUCCCACCCUCAUUUGCCCACUGACUGUUCGCUACCUGCUUGUUACCGCGCCCUAAGGUUUACGGUCGUGCACCUGCUCGCUGGGCGCUGUUCUGAGCAAAUGCACACCCACCGCUCGGCUGUCUUGGAGACUGCGGUCUGUCGGAAAGAUAGGGUUAGGCGUGUAACCACAUUUGAGUCCGUCGACGCACACUGAGGAGAAUGCUGUGAUGGGGAGAAACGGGACUUCUCAGAGCUGUCUCUGGAACCCGGUUUACUCACAGGCACAGUGGUUACCACAAUUCCUACUUCAUGAGACUGUUAGAGACGCAGACACGAAGUCUGCAUCUCAUUCCUUACUCUCAUUCCUUCCGGAAUGAGACAGGUAUAAGACUAGGAAACUCUGUGAAGAAUCAUGCAAAUUAGAUCGUUAAGAUCAUGGCACUAAAGGCAAAACACUGUUGGUUUUAGGGGUUUAUGGCAGCUCCUUAAUCCUGCGCUUGAGUUGGGCAGUGGACGUAAGCCAAAGGCUGUAUUCACUGACUCAUUAGGAAGCGUCGAAGGAGUGCUUGCUAUGUGCAGGGUUUGUAGGUGGUGGAGCAUAAGACAGACAAGGCCCUCGUCAUCAGAGAGCUUACAACCUAUCAGAAUUGCAAGCAACGAGCAAAUUGUAAUAUAAUGUGCGACGAGUGUUUUGUGACAGAAGAGCAAGUGAAUUCUGUAAGGAGAGAGUCAUGUACACAGGCAAGUGCUCAGAACUUGGUGCCUUUCCAUUUAUAUGUUUGCGUUACAAAAUGGGGAACACUGGGGCCGCCGUAGUAGGUUAAGCAUCUGCCCGCGGUGCCAGCAUCCCAUAUGGGCACUGGUUCAAAUCCCAGCUCCCUGCUGAUGGCCUGGGAAGGCAGUAGGAGAUGGCCUGGGUGCUUGGGCCCCUGCACCUGCAUGGGAGACCAGGAGGAAGCUCCUGGCUUUGGAUCAGCCAUAGCAGUCAUUUGGAGAGUGAACCAGCAGACAGGAAACUCUCUCUCUCUCUCUCUCUCUCUCUCUCUCUCUCUCUCUCUCUCUCUCUGUCAUUCUGCCUUUCAAAUAAAUGAACUAAAUCUUAGAGAGAGACAGAGAUACAAGCUGGUAUUUGUUCACUCCAUAUCCCGUAUCAGUGCCUGGGAUUGAGUCUUGCUUCACCUUUCACUCCAGGUGCCUGCUAAGGCACAUGUUGGGAGGUAGAGAAAGAUAAGUUUAUUUUUUUCUUAAUUUGCAUUUUCUGUGAAUAUAUUGAAGACUUCUUGUAUGCAUGCAUUUCAAAUAUUUUGCACCAAAAUAAACUUCUUUCUAAAGUUUUAUUUAUUUAUUUGAAACACAGUGUGACAGUGUGAGGGAGACAUGUGCGCACGUGCACGCACACACACACACACACACACACACCUUCCAUCUACUGGUUCACUCCCCAAGUGCCUACAACAGCCAGGGCUGGGCCAUCCUGAAGCUAAGACCCAGGAACUCCAGCCAGGUCUCCCAUGUGAGUGGCAGGAACUCAAGUACUUGAGCCAUCAUCUGCUGCUUCCCAGGCUCAUUAGCAGGGAGCUGGAUCAAAGGCGGAGUGGCUGGGCCUGGCACUCUGCUAUGGGAUUGCAGACCUCCUAAGCCCACAACACCCACACCUAAACUUACCUUUUAAUUUUAUUUUCCCACGAACUUUGUAAAGGACCCUGGUACUCUCACGAACACUUUGUAUAUAUCAGGAGAGGUAUUUAAGAGCGCUUUGGUCAAAUCAAAGCGGUGGUGAUAGAAGUCAGAGCAGUGGUGCACUGAUAGGAUGAUAUAUAAACUGGAAAGAAGCUGGACGGAACUUUCUAGGGGGACAAAAGUGUUCUUUAUUUUGAUCCCAUAAUGGUUACAUGGAACAUAUACAGAAACAUGCAAAGAGCUGUGUGUUUAAGACUGGGUGUUUUACUGUAUGUAAAGUAUACCUUGAUGAAAAUUUUUACAGAAGCAGUGAAUUAAAGCUUUGGGGGGGGUCAAAUGAUUUUGGUUCAGAUCUUGGCUCUGUUCUUUAAUAGCUAUGUGAGUUUCUGUCUUUUUUUAAAGAUUCAUUUUAUUUAUUUGAAGGCAGAGUUAAUGGGGGUGGAGGGGUGGGGAGAUAGCUUUCAUGUGAUGGUUCACUCCCAAUGGCUGAGCCAGGCUGAAGCCAGAAGCCUGGAACUCCAUCCAGGUCUUCCAAAUGGAUGGCAAGGACUGAAGUACUUAGGCCAUCUGCUGCUGCUUGCCCAAGUGCAUUAGCAGGGAGCUGGAGUGGAGCAGCCUGGACUUGAACCUGCACUCGUAUGGGAUGCUGGUAUCGCAGGCAAUGGUUUCACCUGCUGUGCCCAGAUGCCUGCCCCACCCCAUCUUCUUUCCUACAUUCAGUAUUUAUUGAGUACCGACUCAGUUUACUGGUCAAGGUUCAAGGGACAUAUGAUAAACAAGAAAUAGGUGAUUCAUGCUUUCAUAGAAUUUCAGCCAAGCCACAGGUAUCUAUCUUGGGAACAGGGAUGAUAACAUUUUAAUCACAGGUCAUUGUAAGAACUAAAAAGGGGACCAAUGCUGUAACAUAGCGGGUAAAGCUGCCACCUGCGGUGCCAGCAUCCCUUAUGGGCGCCGGUUCAAGGCCUGGUUGCUCCACUUCCAAUCCAGCUCUCUGCUAUGGCCUGGGAAAGCAGUAGAAGAUGGCCCAAGUCCUUGGGCCCCUGCACCCACAUGGGAACACCCGGAGGAAGCUCCUGGCUCCUGGAUUCAAAUCGGUGCAGCUCCAGCCAUUGCAGCCAAUUGGGGAGUGAACCAGAGGAUGGAAGACCUCUUUCUCUCUCUGCCUCUCCUUUUCUCUCUGUGUAACUCUGACUUUCAAAUAAAUAAAAAAAAUUUAAAAAAAUAAUUAAAGAGAACACGCAGGUAGAGUAUCUGGGAAGCAAUUGAUGCUCAGAAAUAAACAGCCUGACCAACUGUUUGAUGGACCAGGGGACCCUGAUUGUUCACAGCCAAUGGGUUUACUGAGAGGUCAGAGCUGGAGCGCUUAUUUAGCUUAUUGUCUGAUGUUCAUUGCUCUGCUCAAGGAAGGCCCAUGCGAGUUAUGUUCCAUGGGUUCUGUAGUGCAUGCUUAUAUCUGCCUGCUGUAUUUAUAAUUGAAUGGUGACCUGACUUUGUAAACUUUUGGAGUGCACUUUCUUUCAGAACCUUUGGGCGCGUCUUCAUUGUUUUGCGCACUGUUAGAUAUUUCGAGGUGGAAGGGAAGAGCUGUGCUGGGGCUGUGUGCAACCUUUGGUACAGACCUGGGCUCAGCGCUUGCUUCAGAGACUCGGAGGAACGGCGUUCCCAGAUGCACUCCACCAAAACAGGGGUGUCCGGAGCCUUUGAGCAGAUUUGGUGGCGUUCAAAGUGCUGCUGCAAUGCAUCAUGGGCCCAGGAAAAUGGGAGCUGGGUGGUUUUCCACCCCCUGCUGAGAGCCCCUGGAGGCAGUAGGCGUGUCUGAUCCCAGCUGUUCUUCUUUACUUUUUCCCAGGAUAGUCACUCACUCUAGGGGAUCGGUGAGACAUCUCAGGGUUUUGUGGGUUCAUCUGCCUUCCUGAUAUUCUUUUGUUUGGUAAGGUAAGAACCACACUUGAUUCAGUCCGGAAUCCUCUGUCUCUUUCCUUGGUGAAUAUGUAUUUCUCCUCACCCUCAGUUCACAUGUUGAGCCUUAAUCCCCAGGGAGAUGCUAUUUAGAAGGAAGGCCUUUGGGAAGUAAUUAGGUUUGGAUGACGUGCGAAGGUAGAGUCCCUAUAACAGGAAGCAGCAAUCACAACUCUCCCCUGCCUUCCCCUCUCCUUUCCUCCCCUCCUCUCUCCUCUCUUCCCCUCCCCCCUUCACCUACAGGCUAGGAGGAGGGUCCUCACCAGGCACCGAAUCUGCUCACACGUUGAUCCCCAACUUCCCAGCCUUUAGAGUUGUGACAAAUAAAUGUUCUUUAAGCCACCUGGUUUACGGUGUUCUGUUAGAGCUGCCCAAGCUGCCCAAGACACUUGGUUCCCCUCUUUGAUGUUCAUUCCACAAAGCUGUACCCUUUCGGUUAUUUGUUGAAUUAAUUCUCUUACUUUUUUGAAUACCUUUUAAUUUGUUUAUUAUUAUUAUUUGAUUAAUUUCCUUUAUUGGGGAGGCAGAGAAAUAGAAAGAGAGAGCUCCCAUCUGCUAGUUCACUCCCCAAAGGCCAACAACAGCCAGUGCUGGGCUGGAGCCAAACUAAGGAGACAGGAAUGCAAUCCCGGUCUCCUGUGUGGGUAACAGGAACCCAAUUACUUUAGCCUUCACUGCUGCCUCCCAGGUGCACAUUAGCAGGAAACUGGAUUCGGGAGCUGGAAUCUGGUAUCAAACCCAGGAUGUUGAUGUGGGAGGCGGGUGUCUUAACAAGGGUCCUAACUGUUAGGCUGAAUCCCUGCCCCUUUUCUCUUUUUAAAAAUCUUUAACAGGGGGCCGGCAUGGUGGCACAGUGGGUUAACACCCUGGCCUGCAGUGCCAGCAUCCUAUAUGGGCACCGGUUCAAGACCUGGCUGCUCCUACUCGGAUCCAGCUCUCUGCCAUGGCCUGGGAAAGCAGUAGAAAUGGCCCAAGUCCUUAGGCCCCUGCACCCGCAUGGGAGACCCAGAAGAAGCUUCUGGCUUUGGAUCGGCGCAGCUCCAGCUGUUGCAGCCAGUUGGGGAGUGAACCAUUGGAUGGAAGACCUCUCUCUCUGCCUCUACUCUUUCUGUGUAACUCUGACUUUCAAACAAAUCUUAAAAAAAUCUUUAACAUUUGAAUCUUGCAUUAAAGUGCAUAAAAUGAUAUAAUGCAUACCUUUCCACUCACCACUGUGAUUAGAUAAAUGUAAAUGCUUUAGCCAAUUUGUUCGGAAAUGAAAGGAUUAGAGAAUCAGCCAAGAACGGGACCCCCCUCUUCUUCCUGUCCCCCACCACCAGAGGUGAUCACAGUCCUGAAAUACAUCCCCAUGUAUAUUAUAUUUGUAUUUUCUUAUUUUUACUUUUUAAAAUAUUUAUUUAUUUGAAAGGCACAGUUAGAGAGAGAGAGAGAGAUUUUCCACCCACUGAUUCAGCCCUCAACUGGCCACAAUGGCUAGGGUUGAGCCAGGCUCAGGAACCAGGAAUUCCAUCUGGGUCUCCCAUGUGGGUGGCAGGUGAUCAAGUACCUGGGCCAUCUUCCGCUGCUUUUCCAGGUGCAUCAGCAGGGAGCUGGAUUGAAAGUGAAGCAGCUGAGACUCAAACUGGCACUCAUAUGGGAUGCUGGCAUGGCAGGUGGGGGCUUAACCCAGGGUGCCACAACACUGACCCCUAUAUUUGUACUUUUAUCAUACAUAUAUGCUUCCAUAAACUGUAUAGCCUUGUUUCCUAUGUUUCACUAUGUUUUGUAUAUCUUUCAAAAUUUGAUUAUUUUUAAUUUUUUAAAAGAUUUAUUUAUUUAUUUGAAAGAGUUACAGUGAAAGAGGGAGAGACAGAGAGAGAAGAGAAAGAUCUUCCAUCUGCUGGUUCACUCCUCCUCAAACGGCUGCAACUAAUCACCAGGGCUGGGCCAGGCCGAAGCCAGGAGCCAGUAGCUUCGUCCGGGUCUCCUACGUGGGUGCAGGGGCCCGCCAUUUCUGGUGCCCCAGUGAAGAUCCGUUUAAAUCAGAAAGUGUCCGUAUAGAUCCAGCCACCAACUGUCCUUUCCCCAGCUCUCCUGGUGAUCCUGAUACACCUUAAUCUUUGAGAACCACUGCUCUAAUUUAUUUGUUUUGCUUGCUGUCUGGCGUUGGACAGUGUGAGCCAGCCACAGUUAGCUGUUUUUCGUUUGCUUACAGAUAACGCUGCAUUGAACAUGCUUGUACUUCCCUCCUUGGGUAGAAAUGCCAGCACUUUCCAGGGUGCACGCUUAGGAGUGGGACUGCUGACUUCGUAUUAGUUCAUAUCUUGAACUUCACAAGGUUUAGCAAAGAUUAGUCUCCAAAGAAAUAUUAAAGAGGCAUGCAACUUCAGGCAGUUAUAAGAAGUACUGUUUCUGGUACUCGUGUUGUGGCACAGCGGGUUAAGCUGCAGGCUGCAAUACAAGCGUUGCACAUCUGAGCUCCAAUUUGAGUCUCGGCUGCUCCACUUCCAAUCCACUCCCUGCUAAUGCACUUGGGAAAACAGCAGGAGAUGGCCCACCUACCACCCACAUGGGAGACUAGGAUGGAGUUCCAGGCUCCUGGCUUUGUUGGGGCCAUGUGGGGAGUGAACCAGUGGAUGAAAGAUUUCUUUCUCCCUCUCUGUAUCUCUGCCUCUCUCUUUUACUCCGCCUUUCAAAUAAAUAAAACAUUUUUUAACGAUUUAUUUAUUUAUUUGAAAGUCAGAGUUACACAGAGAGAGAGGAGAGGUAGAGAGAGUUUUUCCAUCCUUUGGUUCACUCCCCAGUUGGCCGCAAUGGCCAGAGCUGCGCCAAUCCAAAGCCAGGAGCCAGGAGCUUCUUCCAGGGCUCCCACAUGGGUACAGGGGCCCAAGAACUUGCAUAGCAGAGAGCUGGAUAGGAAAUGGAGCAGCUGGGUCUCAAACUGGCACCCAUAUGGGAUGCCAGUGCUUCAGGCCAGGGCGGUAAGCCGCUGCACCACAGCACCAGCCCCAAAACAUCUUUUUUUUGUUUUUGUUUUUAAGAAGUACCAUUUCUAAAUAUCUGAUCCAGCUUUUGACAUCUUCAGACUUUGUUCAUUUGUUUAUUUUAGCCUCAUGCUGGUAAAAAUGAUAUCUGUGGGGACCAUCGCUGUGGCAUAGCAGGUAUAGCCGCCGCCUGCAGUGCCAGCAUCCCAUAUGGGCGCCGGUUCAUUACGCGGCUGCUCCACUUCUGAUCCAGCUGUCUGCUAUGGCCUGGGAAAGCAUUAGAAGAUGGCUUGGUCCCCUGCACCUGCGUGGAAACACCCAGAGAAAACUCCUAGUUACUGGCUUCAGAUCGACUUAGCUCUGGCUGUUGUGGCCAAUUGGGGAGUGAACCAUAGGAUGGAAGACCUCUCUCUCUCUCUCUCUCUCUCUCUCUCUCUCUCUCUCUCUCUGCCUCUGCUGCUUUCUCUGUGUAGCUCUCACUUUCAAAUAAAUAAAUAAAUUUUAAAAGAUGAUACCUUUCUUGUUUUAACUGUAAUUUCCCUCAAAAUAGUGAUAUUGAGCAUCUUAUCUUGCAGGCUGCUCCGGUUUCUUCCUUUGGGAAUGACUGUUGAUGUUUCUGGCUCAUUUUUCUGCUGGGUUUCUGUAUGCUUUUAUUAAUCCCGAGCAAUUCUUUGCAUACUUUGGAGACUGAUUUCACGCUGAGGAUUUUCGUUCACUGUUUCCUAGACUCUUCCUAGAAAGCAGAGGCUCUUAUGUUCUCAUGGACUGCGCUGUUCACAGGUGGAACAAAUGUCACUGGAAGCUGAUCACUAAGUCCUGGGGCCCCAGGACAUUGGAAUGGGGGGGAGUGAAAGGCACUUUUUUGGUGAUGGUAUUGAGUUCCUAGUAAUUGCCAACAGAGCUGAAAUCUCAAGGAAAUGUUCCUUAAACAAAAUGGAUCUGAAUGGGAGUGCUGCUGCUGUUGUACAGUGAAAGAGGUGGCUCGGGGAACUCCGGAGUGUCCACCACGAAGUCCUUCCCAGCCAUCAGAGAGCUCUCUGGCGGGGUCACCUGGUUUGGAGCCUGGCCAAUGUAACACACACCUGUUUCAGUAUAACUUUGUACAGCUGUGAUCGUCAGCAUAAUGACCCCUCCAAAAUGUCUGUGUCCUAAUCCCUGGAGGCUGCGACCCGGCCACCUUCCCACGGCAACAAGAACAUGAUCCUGAGAUGAGGAGACGGCAGGUGGCCCCACUGUGGUCACAGGCAUCCUUAUAAGGGAGAGGUAGGAGGCUGAGAGAAAAGGAGAUGCGAUGAUUGGAAGGAUGGAAGAUGCUACACUGCUAGUUUGGAGACGUCCAUAAGGCAAGGAAGGCAGGCAGCCUCCUGGAACUGGAAAAGGCAAGAAACCCGAUUGUCCCCAAGAGCCCUCAGAAAGAAUAAUGCCAUUCAGAUCCAUUUUUAAAAAAACAUUUAUUUAUUUAUUUAUUUGAAAGGCAGAGCUACAGAGAAGCAGAGAGAGAGAGAGAGAGAGAGAGAGAGAGAGAGAAAGAGAGAGGUCUUCCAUCCACUGGUUCACUCCCUAGAUGGCCACAAUGGCUGGAGCUGGGCUGAUUUGAAGCCAGGAGCCAGGAGCUUCUUCCAGGUCUCCCAAGCAGGUACAGAGGCCCAAGGACCUGGGCCGUCUUCCACUGCUUUCCCAGACCAUAGCAGAGAGCUGGAUGGGAAAUGGAGCAGCUGGGACUUGAACUGGCCUCCAUGUGGGAUGCCAGCACUGACGGUUAGCCCCCUCUGAUCCAUUUUUGACUUUAAACUUUCUUCUUCCCAGAAAGCCUAAUAAGAAUAGUUGUUUCCUUUUCCAAUUUUACCAUGGCUUACUUUUUUCCUUUUUAAUAAUUAGAUCUUUAAUCCAAUUAAAAAUGAUUUCGAUGGCUGAGGUCUCAUCUUUGGUGAUAUUAGAUUAAUUAGAUUCCUUCUCUCCCCGAGCUAUCCCAACACAGAAUAGCUCCCCAAGACCAUUUUUUGUGUCUCUUGUGUAUCAUAUGACAUUCUUUUUUUAAAAAAAUAUUUACUUAUUUAUUUGGAAGUCAGAGUUACAUAGAGAGAGCAGAGGCAGAGAGAGAGAGAGAGAGAGAGAGAGAGAGAGAGAGGUCUUCCAUCCGCUGGUUCGAUCCCCAAUUGGCAGCAAUGGCUGGAGCUGUGCCAAUCCGAAACCAAGAGCCGGGAACUUCCUCUGGGUCUCCCACAUGGGUACAAGGGCUCAAGGACUUGGGCCAUUUCUACUGCUUUCCCAGACCAUAGUAGAGAGCUGGAUCAGAAGUGGAGCAGCUGGGUCUGAAACCGGCACCCAUAUGGGAUGCUGGCUCUUCAGGCCAGGGCGUUAACCCACUGUGCCACAGCGCUGGCCCCCAUCAGAGGACAUUCUUUUCUAGGGGGGGUUACAAUAUCUCAAUUCACUGUUGUUUCAAUGAUUAUUGAUCCAAAUGGAAGAUUUUUCGCCAUUCUGUUGCCAGAAACAUGUGAAAUGCACUUGAAACUAUUUAAAGGAGAUUUUCUUCAGUGAAGUAAAUGAAUUUUGUUUAUACUACUCAGAUGACCAGGCCAUUGGAUCAUGGUAUGGUAGAGCUGGGAGCACAGACUGUGGGUUUGGACAACCUGGGUUGAGAUCCUGGCUGCCCACUAACCAGGUGACCUUGGACAUGCCAUCAACCUCCUCUCACCUUGGUCUGCUCCCUUGUAGCAGUGGAAUGGUAACAGUACCCACCGCAGAAGAUCAGUGUGCAUGCACAUGCAUAGACAUAGGCACACCACUUAGAACUAUGCCACCACAGAGUGCUCGGUGAGCUUGCUGGGCGUGGUGUGUUAGCAUGGUACUCCCUCCCGUAGACUGCAUAUGCCUCUUCUUGAAUUACAUCCAUUAAGAAGCUGUAUAAUGGGAUGGGAGGAGACUUUUCCUGUUACCUCCUAAUCUGUGACUUUGGACACACAAUUUGGGACAAGGUGCUACCCAAUAUAUUGUAAUGCAAAGGCCCUUAGCCUGAGGUUCAUGAACCUGAUAGGAAAAAGCCCACUUCCUCAUUUUCACUUAUCUCUAACUGAAAUUAUUUCUUUCUUAUGAAUGCAGGCUAAUAUUGCACAUCAAGUAUAGUCUGCUACAUCGUCUCCAAUAGAAAUCAGAUAUUUCUAAUAAUUUUUGGAGUUUGUUUAGGAUUUAUUUGAAAGGCAGUCACAGAAAGAGGGAUAGAUAGAGAGCCACUGGUUCACUCCCCAGAUGGCCACAUCGGCCAGGGAUAGGCCAGGCUGAAUCCAGGAACCAGGAGCUUCUCUGGGUCUCCCAUGUAGGUACAGGGGCCCAAGGACUUGGGCCAUCUUCUACUGCUUUCCCAGGUCAUAGCAGAGAGCUAGAUCAGAAGUAGAGUAGCCAGGACUUGAACCAGCACCUAUAUGGGAUGCCGGCACUGCAGGUGGUGGCUUAACAUGUUACAGCACAACACCAGCCCCCUAACCUCAUCACUUUACAGCUGUUGCAGAUGUCUUGAAUUACUGUUUGCAUUCACCAUCAGUUUAAAGUUAUGAAGGCUUUGGGGGCAGGCACUGUGGGACACCUGCAUCCCACAGUGGCAUGGACGGCUUCACACCCUGGGUACUGGGCUUCCAGUCCAGCUUUCUGCUAAUGGGCCUGGCUAGGCAGCAGAUGACAGCCAAGAACUUGGGUCCCUGCAUCCGUGUGAGACCAGGUUGGAAUUCCUGACUCCUGGCUUCAGCCUGGCCCAGCUCUGGCUGUUGUGGGCAUCUGAGAAGUGAACAAGUGGGUGGAAGAUCUCUCUACCUCUACCUCUACCUCUACCUCUCUCUCUCUCUCUCUCUCUAUCUCUAUCUCUAUCUUUAUCUCUCUACCUCUAUCUUUAUCUCUCUCUACCUCUAUCUCUACCUCUAUGUUUCUCUACAUCUACCUCUAUCUCUACCUCUCUCUCCAUCUCUAUCUCUAUCUCUCUCUGUCUCUGUCUCUAUCUCUGCCUCUGCCUCUAUCUCUACCUCUAUCUCUAUCUCUCUUACUCUGCCUUUAAAAUAAAUAAACAAACAAAUAAAUAAAUCUUAAAAUUUUGGAGGCUUUAGAAUUGCUGCUCACUCUUGGUAUUUAAUCUAUUAAUAAAGAAGCACGUAUAGUGCUAUGUCACACUUGCCUUAAUAUUUUGAUUUCUGUAUUUUGAUAUAAUUGGUUUUCUUUGUAACUCUAUUUUAUUUUAUACAUUUACAGAUUUCUUAUGAGAAUGCUCGUAGAAUUCCCCAGACAGGGGGCCAGCAUUGUGGCACAGUGGUUAAAGCCACUGUCUGUGACUUUAACCUGUUGUACCAUAGCACUGGCCCCAGUAAAUCUUAAAAAAAAAAAGAAUUCCCCAGAUGGCUAGAGGAUCCACAACACACUCAUGCACACAUAUACAUACAAACACACACACACACACACACACACACACACAGGAUUCCUGCUCUUAAGGAGGUAAGGAAUCUCUGAGGUGAGAAGCCCUCCUCACUCUCCCUGGGGAGCACAAAGAGGUGAGGACUUUUCUGGGUCAGGCACUGUGCUGAGGGUUUUGUGUAUUUAUCUUUAUUUAAUCUUCCCAACACCUUGACGUAGGCUUUUUUUUUUUUAAGAUUUAUUUAUUUGUUUAUUUUGACAGGCAGAGUUAAACAGUGAGAGAGAGAGACAGACAGACAGAGAGAAAGGUCUUCCUUUUUCCGUUGGUUCAUCCCCCAAGUGGCCACCACGGCCGGUGUGUUGUGGCCGGCGUGCUGCGCCGAUCCAAAGCCAGGAGCCAGGUGCUUCCUCCUGGUCUCCCAUGCGGGUGCAGGGCCCAAGCACUUGGGCCAUCCUCCACUGCCUUCCUGGGCCACAGCAGAGAGCUGGACUGGAAGAGGAAUGACCGGGACAGAGUCUGGCGCGCCGACUGGGACUAGAACCCGGGGUGCUGGCACCGCAGGUGGAGGAUUAGCCUAGUGAGCUGUGGCGCCAGCCUAUUUAUUUAUUUGGAAGUCAGUGUUACACACAGAGAGAAAUAGAGGCAGAGAGAGAGAGAGAGAGAGAGAGAGAGGUGUUCCAUCUGCUGAUUCACUCCCCAAUUGGCUGCAACGGCAAGAGCUACCCUGAUCCGAAGGUAGGAGCCAGGAGCUUCUUCCAGGUCUCCCACGUGGGUGCAGGGCCCCAAGGACUUGUGCCAUCUUCUACUGCUUUCCCAGAUCAUAGCAGAGAGCAGGAUCAGAAGUGGAGCAGCCAAAACAUGAACUGGCGCCUGUGUGGGAUGCCGGCACUGCAGGCGGCAGCUUUACCUGCUACGCCACAGCACCGGCCCCAAGAAGUGGGUUUUUAUUAUUGUCCCCAUUUUAUAGAAGAAAAUAUUGAGGCUCAGAGGAGUGCGUGAAUUGCUCAUGGUCCCGGAGCAGUGACUGGUGCUGGAUUCCAUGCUCCGAUAGCUGUGCCUGCCACACAGAACCUCUGAGCCUGGCCACUUGAGAUAAGUACCUCAUUCUCACUCUACAGACAAGGAAACCGAGUCUGGAGAAGGAAAGUCCCUUUUCCUCAGCGCUGUGUGACACGGUCAGGCUGUGACUUCAAAGGUCCCACAUUCUGCUGCACCCUGCAGGGAUAAUUACAUGUGUAGCCUGUGAGAGGUGAUGGUUGGCCAGAUACAUGACUCAGGCAAACCGUUACAUGCCUUCCAUCAGGAUUAGAUGGUUUGGAAGGAAAUUACUACUCUGAGUGCGUUCACUCUGAGGCCACAGAGCUGUGUGGGGAGCGUCCUGGUGGAUGUGAAAGACACACUAGCAUUUGGAAAACUCCAUUAGCUGCUAUUGUCUAGACUAGAGAGUCAAAAGGAGGAAGCCGGAGAUAAAAGAAUUCACAAGUGGGAAGUUCUGUGUUGGGGGCUCCUGCUGAAACAGAAAGAACCAUUAUUUUGAAACCAUUAAUGAUGAACUUGGUAAGGAUCAAAGUAGUCUUGUGACCUGUAAAUCUAAUGAAAUGAAAGUGAGGUAAUGGCAUGUUUUAUAAUGCCGACGGAUCUGAGACGCUGGAAAUUAUCUCAGCAUGAGCACUACACGGGAAGAGCGAACAAUGGAAGCCAUCCAGACAAGGAUCUUUAUUCAGCUGUAUUUAUAGCAGGCCUUCGCCUUGUCUUUCAACGUGGGGAUCACAAAGGCGCCUGUUGCACCUUGCUGGGUGUAUGAAAAUGCAGCGGUUGGCACAGUCCCUGCACAAAGGAGGGAAAGACGACAAGGGGGAUGAAUAGCUCUGGCUCUGGCUCCAAGGGGAGGGGAGACAGCAAGCAAGACAGAACCUGGGAGAGAAAAGAACCGAAAGAGGGUCUUCCCACCUCGCCCAAGCCCAUUUCUCUAGAACUGAGCUGUCUCAUAGUCGUCACUGACUGUGGCUAUUUACAUUUGCCAAAAUUAAAUACAGGGGCAGGUGUUUGGCCUGGGGGUUAAGAUGCUGCUUGGGAAGCCUGCAUUUGGUAUUGGAGUGCCUACGUUUGUGUCCAGCUCUGUUCCUGAUUCCUGCUUCCUGCUAUUGUGCACCCUGGGAGACAGCAGGUGAUAGCUCAAGUGGUUGGGUCCCUGCUCCCCACAGGACAGACCUGAAUCGGGCUCCUGGAUUCUGGCUUCAGCCAGCCCAAUCUUGGCUCUUGUUGAUAUCUGAGUAACGAAAUGGCAAAUGGAAGUUCCCUGUCUGCCAGUGUCUCUGCCUUUGAAAGGAAAAAUGAAAGAAAGAGAAAUUCCACUAGUCGAGGCUUCUUGUCAUGCAUUUUUUUAAAAAAGGAAAAAAAGUAAAUCUAAUUGUUGAAAGCUCACUGCCUCAGCUAAUAGGUACACUCCAAGUGUUCAACAGGUACAGGUAGCUAGUGGAUACCACACUGGGCACUGCAGAUAUAGUGCGUUUCCAUCACAGAAAGUUCCCCUGGGCAAUAUUCAAAAGUCAGCACAGGGGUCCAUGAUAAGACAGAAGAGUGGAGUCUUCUAAGAUAGCACAGGGGUCCCAGGUCCUGUUGGGACCCUCAAUGAGCUACUGGCACUCUCCAGAACUCGGUUUCCUAAUAUUAUUGAUUAAUAUUUUUAACCAGACAUUAUAAAGAGAUAGUCACAUAAUUAAUUUAGUCUUAAGAUGACAGGCGAGUUCUUAGGGCCCCUUUACAGGAGAGGAAGUGGAGGUUAAGAACCUGCUCAGUGGGGCUGGCUUUGUAGUGCAGCAGGUUAAGCUGCCCCCUGCGAUGCCGGCAUCCCGUAUCAGAGCACCGGUUCGAGUCCCGGCUGCUCUGCUUCUGAUCCAGCUCCCUGCCACUGUGUUUGGGAAGGCAGCAGAUGAUGGCCCAAGUAUCUGGGCCCCUGUCACUAUGUGGGAGACCUGGAUGGAGCUCCUGGCUCCUGGCUUCAGGUUGGCCCAGCCCUGGCCAUUGCAGCCAUCUGAGGAGUGAACCAGUGGAUGGAAGUGUGCUGUCUCUGUCUCUCUCUGUACCUUUUUUUCCAAAUAAAAGUCCCAUAGUCAGUAGCAAAACUGGAUUUUGUAUCCAGGUCUCUGACUUCUGAAGUCACUGUCCUAUCCUCCUAGCCACACUGCCUCCUGCUUUAGUCCUCAUUUGUAACUCAUGGAGUCGUAGCUGGAUUCCCCCAGAAAAAGAAGCUGAAAUGAGGAUUUGAGUCAGGUAGUUUAUCUGGGAGGUGACCCCAGGAAGCACGGGUGAGGGCAUGGGGAAGUGAAACAGAGAGGGGAAGGAAGAAUUUACCGGGUGAGCCAGGAGCGGGUUCCACUGUGGGCAGCUUCAUCUUGGAGACCACAUAGAACUUCUGCCUCUCAGUUGUCCUACAUAAUGGAAGGGGGAAGUUGGUGCAUCUAUCCACCAACUCCUCACCUGUCAUGGUAGGAGGCUAUUCCAGGGGCAUUAACCGUGGCACUUCGGCCCCGCCACCCUCAAGGGCUAAACAUGCUCUUGUGGUCACAAAAGAUCUGCCUACACUGGAUAGGAUGGGAGGUUGUCAGCUAAACGUGUGAAUUUGCAAAGUUUUUCGGAAAGUAUUUUGAAAAAUUCUGUUAGCGUUUACAAUAUACUUACCCACAAAUUCAUUCUAUAAAUAUAUUCAAGAGAAAUACAAGGACGAGUGCCUAAGCAUAUGUGCACACGGCUGUGUGUUCUUGCAUGCUUUCCCAGCGUGAAAAACUGGAUGGUAGAAUCAACUGUGCCAAGUCCACACCAUGGAAUAUUACACAUUUUUAAAAAGAAUAUGUCCUAUCUGUGUUUAGCUUAGACUUAUUUCCAUGAUACAUUGUUAAGUAGAAAAGUGGCUGCAUAAAAAUGUUGCUAUUCCUUUUCUUGUGAAAUGAAGAAAUAUUUUCUUAAACAUGUAGGAAACACAAUAGGCUGUUAGGGGCAGGGUAAUGAGUAGCUAAAUGGAAAAAAAAAACAGUUGUUGAUAACAAUUGAAAUAAUGUAGAUAUUAUGAUGUUAAAGGAAAAUGAGAAAUAGGUGCUCCAUCUAUGAUAUCCUUGGGGAAAAGAAAUCUAAAGGGAAAAAGGUUACAAAGUGACUCAUACAAAUGUAUCCAUGUAAACAUUGAUUUAAUUUGGGGAUGGACCCCUGGGUCAUUUUCCGAUCUGUAAUAAAGUGUCCAUUUCAUGUAAAUAUAUGAGUGGAGAUGGCUGGAUAUUCACUGGACUAUGGCUACAUGAGAAGAUGCAGAAUUGUAUCCUUGAUCUGGAUUCCCCACCUUUCUUUUUCUCACUCUUUCACUGAGAAGAAGUUUCCCGCCUUUUGACUUUUGAACCUAGCUCCCCUACAGGAUCGGGCCAAGAAAGCAUCUGCCUGCUUUGGGUUUUAGGGCCUGGUGUGUGGGAGGAAGGUGAGAGGAGGAGAUUCCACCCUGCAGAGACAAAGGCAAGCUGGAGCAGGUGCACGGACGGAGGCGCACGCAGGGCCAAUGGACUGCUUUGGCUGCUCGGCAGCUGCACGCCCUCCUUACCUGGGAGGAAAAGGGCCAUCAGGCAGCCAGAAUGUGGAGUGUAAGCCAAGUGUGGCCACUCUGAAGUUCCUUCCCAGGACCUUUUUUUUUUUUUUUUUAAAGAGAGGAGAGGCAGAGAAAGAGAGGUCUUCCAUUCACUGGUUCACUCCCCAAAUGGACGCAAUGGCUGGAGAUGGGACAGUCUGAAGCCAGGAGCCUGGAGCUUCUUCCAGGUCUCCCAGGUGGGUGCAGGGGUCCAAGCCUUAGGCCUUCUUCUACUGCCUUCUCAGGCCACAGCUAGAGAGCUGGAUCAGAAGUGGAGCAGCCAGGCCUCGAACUGGCACCCAUAUGGAAUGCUGGUACUGCAGACAGAGGCUAUACCUGCUAUGCCACAGCGCUGGCUCC